UUAGCUCAUAUUUGUAUGGAAUGGGAUCGUUUGCGUACGUUUGCCGCUAGGGGCGCUGUUCCAACUGCAUACAAAAUUGGUUUA
RNAcentral lists this microRNA precursor (84 nucleotides) under Bombyx mori (domestic silkworm). Its description in RNAcentral is "mir-2807 microRNA precursor family". It matches the Rfam family "mir-2807 microRNA precursor family". The record is from Rfam by way of RNAcentral. Lineage: Eukaryota; Metazoa; Arthropoda; Insecta; Lepidoptera; Bombycidae.